UAUGGUAAUGCCAGCAGCCGCGGUAAUACGAAGGGGGCAAGCGUUGUUCGGAAUUACUGGGCGUAAAGGGAGUGUAGGCGGUUAUGUAAGAUAGUGGUGAAAUCCCAGAGCUUAACUUUGGAAUUGCCAUUAUGACUAUGUGGCUAGAAUUACAGAGAGGAUAGUGGAAUACCCAGUGUAGAGGUGAAAUUCGUAGAUAUUGGGUAGAACACCAGUGGCGAAGGCGACUAUCUGGCUGUAUAUUGACGCUGAGGCUCGAAAGCAUGGGGAUCAAACAGG
RNAcentral lists this ribosomal RNA (279 nucleotides) under Aestuariispira insulae. RNAcentral describes it as "partial 16S ribosomal RNA". It matches the Rfam family "Bacterial small subunit ribosomal RNA", at positions 498 to 776 of the family's 1533-position model. The record is from RNAcentral. Lineage: Bacteria; Pseudomonadati; Pseudomonadota; Alphaproteobacteria; Rhodospirillales; Aestuariispiraceae.